GAAGACGACUAACAGGAUUCCCCUAGUAACUGCGAGUGAAGCGGGAAAAGCUCAAAUUUAAAAUCUGGUGGCCUUUGUCCAUCCGAGUUGUAAUUUAGAGAAGCGUCUUCCGCGCCGGACCGUGCACAAGUCUCCUGGAACGGAGCGUCAUAGAGGGUGAGAAUCCCGUCUUUGGCACGGACCCACCGGGGCUUUUGCGAUGCGCUCUCGAAGAGUCGAGUUGUUUGGGAAUGCAGCUCAAAAUGGGUGGUGAACUCCAUCUAAAGCUAAAUAUUGGCGAGAGACCGAUAGCGAACAAGUACCGUGAGGGAAAGAUGAAAAGCACUUUGGAAAGAGAGUGAAACAGUACGUGAAAUUGUUGAAAGGGAAACGCUUGAAGUCAGUCGCGUCGCCCGAGACUCAGCCUCGCCUCGGCUUGGUGUACUUCUCGGCUGACGGGUCAGCAUCAAUUUCGCUCCUUGGAUAAUGGCCAGGGAAAUGUGACACCUUCAUCGGUGUGUUAUAGUCUCUAGUCGCAUGCAAGGGUCGGGAUUGAGGAACUCGGCACGCGCCCUCGGGCGUCGGGGUUUUGCCCACGAUACGUGCUUAGGAUGUUGGCGUAAUGGCUUUAAACGACCCGUCUUGAAACACGGACCAAGGAGUCUAACGUGCCCGCGAGUGUUCGGGUGGAAAACCCGUGCGCGCAAUGAAAGUGAAAGUUGGGACCUCCGUCGUGGAGGGCACCGACGCCCGGACCAGACCUUCUGUGACGGAUCUGCGGUAGAGCGUGUAUGUUAGGACCCGAAAGAUGGUGAACUAUGCCUGAAUAGGGUGAAGCCAGAGGAAACUCUGGUGGAGGCUCGUAGCGAUUCUGACGUGCAAAUCGAUCGUCAAAUUUGGGUAUAGGGGCGAAAGACUAAUCGACCAUCAGGC
This 912-nucleotide ribosomal RNA is filed under the name Russula sp. Its description in RNAcentral is "partial 28S large subunit ribosomal RNA". It matches the Rfam family "Eukaryotic large subunit ribosomal RNA", at positions 56 to 948 of the family's 3401-position model. The record is from RNAcentral. Lineage: Eukaryota; Fungi; Basidiomycota; Agaricomycetes; Russulales; Russulaceae.